This 501-nucleotide ribosomal RNA is filed under the name uncultured bacterium. RNAcentral describes it as "partial 16S ribosomal RNA". It matches the Rfam family "Bacterial small subunit ribosomal RNA", at positions 30 to 523 of the family's 1533-position model. The record is from RNAcentral.
AUUGAACGCUGGCGGCAGGCUUAACACAUGCAAGUCGAGCGGGGGAAGGUAGCUUGCUACCGGACCUAGCGGUGGACGGGUGAGUAAUGCUUAGGAAUCUGCCUAUUAGUGGGGGACAACAUCUCGAAAGGGAUGCUAGUACCGCAUACGUCCUACGGGAGAAAGCAGGGGAUCUUCGGACCUUGCGCUAAUAGAUGAGCCUAAAUCGGAUUAGCUAGUUGGUGGGGUAAAGGCCUACCAAGGCGACGAUCUGUAGCGGGUCUGAGAGGAUGAUCCGCCACACUGGGACUGAGACACGGCCCAGACUCCUACGGGAGGCAGCAGUGGGGAAUAUUGGACAAUGGGGGGAACCCUGAUCCAGCCAUGCCGCGUGUGUGAAGAAGGCCUUAUGGUUGUAAAGCACUUUAAGCGAGGAGGAGGCUACUUUAGUUAAUACCUAGAGAUAGUGGGCGUUACUCGCAGAAUAAGCACCGGCUAACUCUGUGCCAGCCGCCGCAGUAA